UGGUCGUGUGCUCUGUAGUCUAAUGGUGCAAUUUUUACUAAUAUGUAUAUGGUUAAUUAUUGUUCUAGCAACAAUCCAACGGUACUCGAGUAGAUAAUUUAAGUGGCAGUCCCCAUAGAAACAGUGUUUGGCCAAGUGAUGUACGCCACAUCAUUCACGGCGACUAGCUGUUGGCAAAACCAACGCAGUGGACCCUAAAUUCAGAAUAGAACGUGAAUUCUACAGGAUCAAGUAUGACACGCACGCAGUUGUUAUCUGUAACUGUACGGACGUCUUUUUGAUUACGAUCUCGAAGCACGUAAUCCUCUUCAUAUACUUCGGUUACUGCUAGCAUACUUCGGCUGUUCAACCUACGACCGUUCUGGUUGCAUGUACAUGCAGAAUGACAGCGAUGUUCACUAACGGACACAAGACAAGGAAGCUAACGGCUACCGCCGCUGGCGUCUUUACAGCAGUUUCUGUCCGCUUGUCGAAUAUCAACCCAACGCUUUCCUGCAACAACACAGGAACAGUCAGACACAGAACAACUAUUGGAACGCGUACGUGCGGAUCUAUUGCCAGCGAGGCUCCCCUUCCCCCCAGAUGAUCAAGAUCCGAGCUCACACUCUCUUCGUAGAGCUUUCUACUUGCUCGACGUUUUCGCUCUGAUUUCCAGCCUUUCCCCAACCCGUUUGCCCAAAUUCGGCAUUUCAUCUCCAGCUAACUUCGUCUUUGUGCAUCAGAUCAAACAAGAAGGAACGCAAAGAGGUGAUGAAGAAAAGACCUAAGCAGACUGCGCACCGAGUGCAUCUCUGAAAGCUUAUACCCGUUUCAAGCCGUUUCAGACGAGAAAAAAUCCGCUAACGAGAAAUUUGCAGGAAGCACGGCUGACACGCCAGAAUAUUUCGACAGCAUUACUAUCCGGUCCCCUCAGCGCCUCCGCUUAGCCUGUACAGGCCUAGAUUGGCUUCUUCUGACCCGAUCCGAGCCUUGCGUUCGACUUCGACCGGGUAUAGCCCAAUGCUGUUUAAAUUAGCCGUCGAGCAAUCGUCGUCUGAUUUUCUCAUCGUAUCCUAUUUAUGCAAGCGGCACUCAGUUCCGGCCUAGCUCAGCACUUUUCAGUAUUCUGACCUGAACUGCCACGUUCUGUUAUUUAGGCUGUCAUCGCCGCAAGUCGAUGUUGCCAUCUCAUGCGCAUAUGAACUGGCCGGCAGAUCCUCACUGGCGACGAAACUCACCGAAGUGACUAAAAAACGGACAUAGCUAACUGUUCGAUGAAAUCUUUGGAAAACUGACGAAUUCAGCUAAACUCUUGUCAGUCUCCAU
Long non-coding RNA from Varroa destructor (honeybee mite), 1305 nucleotides. RefSeq lists it as uncharacterized. The record is from RefSeq and is a predicted model, not a curated record. NCBI's taxonomy places the organism in Eukaryota, Metazoa, Arthropoda, Arachnida, Mesostigmata, Varroidae.